This 89-nucleotide transfer RNA is filed under the name Ruminococcaceae bacterium D16. It matches the Rfam family "tRNA". Rfam says of the family: Transfer RNA (tRNA) molecules are approximately 80 nucleotides in length. Their secondary structure includes four short double-helical elements and three loops (D, anti-codon, and T loops). The record is from Rfam by way of RNAcentral. Lineage: Bacteria; Bacillati; Bacillota; Clostridia; Eubacteriales; Oscillospiraceae. RNAcentral also lists the same sequence under 4 other names.
GCAGAAGUACCCAAGUGGCUAUAAGGGGCUCCCCUGCUAAGGGAGUAGGCGGGUAAAACCGUGCGGGGGUUCGAAUCCCCCCUUCUGCG